UGUGUUGCUUACCUGUCGGAAGGAAUUCGAUUGUACCGUUGCUGCUCUCCGCCCGGUGCCCUUCGUGGGUGCGGGGCGGACGCUGGGCACGCGACGCGUUCCUCGUGCGCCCUGCGGGGCUGUCGAGGCCUGCGGAGCUGUUGCCCGUUCUCUCGGAUGCGGAACGUGAGGCGCGGGCGCGGGGGUCUCGGCCUUCGCUCGCCCGGGCUACGCAAUCGUCCCUUGACGCGAACGACUGUCGCGGCCGUGUCGACCUCGUCGUGGCCCCGUGGGCCGGGACGAGGCUUGUGCGGUCGUCGACGUCGUCGAGGAGUGCUACCUGGUUGAUCCUGCCAGUAGUCAU
This 343-nucleotide unclassified non-coding RNA is filed under the name Semecarpus forstenii. RNAcentral describes it as "partial external transcribed spacer". The record is from RNAcentral. Lineage: Eukaryota; Viridiplantae; Streptophyta; Magnoliopsida; Sapindales; Anacardiaceae.